This 73-nucleotide transfer RNA is filed under the name Cordylochernes scorpioides. RNAcentral describes it as "tRNA-Thr". It matches the Rfam family "tRNA". From Rfam's summary of the family: Transfer RNA (tRNA) molecules are approximately 80 nucleotides in length. Their secondary structure includes four short double-helical elements and three loops (D, anti-codon, and T loops). Lineage: Eukaryota; Metazoa; Arthropoda; Arachnida; Pseudoscorpiones; Chernetidae. The record is from RNAcentral.
UACAGGGUAGCCUAGUGGACAUGGCAUCUGCCCGGUAAGCGGAACACUGUGGGUUCGAUUCCCAUCCCUGGAC